This 207-nucleotide ribosomal RNA is filed under the name uncultured delta proteobacterium. Its description in RNAcentral is "partial 16S ribosomal RNA". It matches the Rfam family "Bacterial small subunit ribosomal RNA", at positions 568 to 774 of the family's 1533-position model. The record is from RNAcentral. Lineage: Bacteria; Deltaproteobacteria.
CGCGUAGGCGGUUUUUUAAGUCGGAUGUGAAAGCCCGGGGCUUAACCCCGGAAGUGCAUUUGAAACUGAAAGACUUGAGUAUGGGAGAGGGAAGUGGAAUUCCUGGUGUAGAGGUGAAAUUCGUAGAUAUCAGGAGGAACACCGGUGGCGAAGGCGACUUCCUGGACCAAUACUGACGCUGAGGCGCGAAGGCGUGGGUAGCAAACA